AGUGAACGCUGGCGGUAGGCCUAACACAUGCAAGUCGAACGGCAGCACAGUAAGAGCUUGCUCUUACGGGUGGCGAGUGGCGGACGGGUGAGGAAUACAUCGGAAUCUACUUUUUCGUGGGGGAUAACGUAGGGAAACUUACGCUAAUACCGCAUACGACCUACGGGUGAAAGCAGGGGAUCUUCGGGCCUUGCGCGAUUGAAUGAGCCGAUGUCGGAUUAGCUAGUUGGCGGGGUAAAGGCCUACCAAGGCGACGAUCCGUAGCUGGUCUGAGAGGAUGAUCAGCCACACUGGAACUGAGACACGGUCCAGACUCCUACGGGAGGCAGCAGUGGGGAAUAUUGGACAAUGGGCGCAAGCCUGAUCCAGCCAUACCGCGUGGGUGAAGAAGGCCUUCGGGUUGUAAAGCCCUUUUGUUGGGAAAGAAAAGCAGCAGGUUAAUACCCCGCUGUUCUGACGGUACCCAAAGAAUAAGCACCGGCUAACUUCGUG
Molecule: ribosomal RNA, 492 nt
Filed under: uncultured bacterium
Lineage: Bacteria
Description: partial 16S ribosomal RNA
Rfam family: Bacterial small subunit ribosomal RNA
Source: RNAcentral